AUUGAACGCUGGCGGCAUGCUUUACACAUGCAAGUCGAACGGUAACAGGCCGCAAGGUGCUGACGAGUGGCGAACGGGUGAGUAAUGCAUCGGAACGUGCCCAGUCGUGGGGGAUAACUACUCGAAAGAGUAGCUAAUACCGCAUACGAUCUAUGGAUGAAAGCGGGGGACCGUAAGGCCUCGCGCGAUUGGAGCGGCCGAUGUCAGAUUAGGUAGUUGGGGGGUAAAGGCUCACCAAGCCAACGAUCUGUAGCUGGUCUGAGAGGACGACCAGCCACACUGGGACUGAGACACGGCCCAGACUCCUACGGGAGGCAGCAGUGGGGAAUUUUGGACAAUGGGCGCAAGCCUGAUCCAGCAAUGCCGCGUGCAGGAAGAAGGCCUUCGGGUUGUAAACUGCUUUUGUACGGAACGAAACGGCUCUGGUUAAUACCCGGGGCUAAUGACGGUACCGUAAGAAUAAGCACCGGCUAACUACGUG
Molecule: ribosomal RNA, 481 nt
Filed under: uncultured bacterium
Lineage: Bacteria
Description: partial 16S ribosomal RNA
Rfam family: Bacterial small subunit ribosomal RNA
Source: RNAcentral